This 470-nucleotide long non-coding RNA is filed under the name Ananas comosus (pineapple). RNAcentral's name for it is "long non-coding RNA (ACOM_LNC037361)". Lineage: Eukaryota; Viridiplantae; Streptophyta; Magnoliopsida; Poales; Bromeliaceae. The record is from RNAcentral.
GAAAAGAAUGAAAAUCAUAAAUUUUAAUUUAAAAUCAUAAAAAGUUAAUUUAUUUUCCGCAUUACGUUUCUAAUCCACUAUUCAUUUAGGUUGUGUUUGGUUCCACGUAAAACUGAGGAAAAAAAAUUUUCGGUGGGAAAAAAAUUUUACGUCGUUUGUGUUUGUGUUUGGUUUGUAGGAAAAAACAAAAAAAAUUUCCGUGACGGUUGUUUGGUCGAAAGGAAAAGAAAAAAAUAAAAAACUAUUUAAUAUAUAUUUUCUCUUAUUAUAUAUAUUAUUAUAUAUUAUUAAUAUAUAAUAAUUAUCAUAAUAUAUUUAAUUAUUAUAAUUUAUAUUUAUAAACAAGAUAUAUUUAAAAUAUAUUAUAUAAUAAAUAUAUAAUAUAAUAUAUAAUAAUAAUAUAUAUUUAAUAUUAUAAAAUAAAUUAUUAUAUAUUUAUAAAUAAAAUUUUAUAUAUAUAUAUAUAUAUA